AGUGAACGCUGGCGGUAGGCCUAACACAUGCAAGUCGAACGGCAGCACAGGAGAGCUUGCUCUCUGGGUGGCGAGUGGCGGACGGGUGAGGAAUACAUCGGAAUUUACUCUGUCGUGGGGGAUAACGUAGGGAAACUUACGCUAAUACCGCAUACGACCUACGGGUGAAAGCAGGGGACCUUCGGGCCUUGCGCGAUUGAAUGAGCCGAUGUCGGAUUAGCUAGUUGGCGGGGUAAAGGCCCACCAAGGCGACGAUCCGUAGCUGGUCUGAGAGGCUGAUCAGCCACACUGGAACUGAGACACGGUCCAGACUCCUACGGGAGGCAGCAGUGGGGAAUAUUGGACAAUGGGCGCAAGCCUGAUCCAGCCAUACCGCGUGGGUGAAGAAGGCCUUCGGGUUGUAAAGCCCUUUUGUUGGGAAAGAAAUCCAGCUGGCUAAUACCCGGUUGGGAUGACGGUACCCAAAGAAUAAGCACCGGCUAACUUCGUGCCAGCCGCCGCAGUAA
This 506-nucleotide ribosomal RNA is filed under the name uncultured bacterium. Its description in RNAcentral is "partial 16S ribosomal RNA". It matches the Rfam family "Bacterial small subunit ribosomal RNA", at positions 29 to 523 of the family's 1533-position model. The record is from RNAcentral.